AGAAAUUUAGGUUAACCAUAAACCAAGAGCCUUCAAAGCCCUAAACAGGGAAUACCCCCCUAAUUUCUG
RNAcentral lists this transfer RNA (69 nucleotides) under Geckolepis maculata. RNAcentral's name for it is "tRNA-Trp". Lineage: Eukaryota; Metazoa; Chordata; Lepidosauria; Squamata; Gekkonidae. The record is from RNAcentral.